UGUUUUUCCUUUACCCUUUUCUCUGGGGUCCAGUUUUCCCAGGAAUCCCUUCACUCAUGAGAAAGGGGGAUUCCUGGAAAUACUGAUCUUGGGGGCGAGGCU
Molecule: microRNA precursor, 102 nt
Organism: Poecilia formosa (Amazon molly)
Lineage: Eukaryota; Metazoa; Chordata; Actinopteri; Cyprinodontiformes; Poeciliidae
Product: microRNA 145
Source: Ensembl